ACUAGAUUUAUCAGAUAGCGGGAUGGGAACAAAUCCUAAACUUUACUUCUGUCCCUGUCCUCGUUCACACACCCUGUGGAGCAAGACAGGCUUUCAGGGCUUUUCUAUGUAUGAAUUUUUAAUCCUUUUAAUUGCUUUCAGAAAUGGAUCAUCUAGACAUCUUACCAACUUUUUUCCUGGAGCCAGUAGUACACAGCAUCUGCUCUGAUUGUGGGCACUCAGGACGGCUGCAGGGUGUCGUGUCCUUGGAUUUGGGAGCUUGGAAGCCACAGCAGCUGCACGGGAGUGAUACUUUCCUGUGACAUUCCCUGGCUGUCUGCUCAACAUGCCCUCUUGUUCAGAAACAUCUGCACUAACUGAAACAUCCCUCACAGUGAGAAAAGGAUCAAACAUGAGCCUGGUGCUUCCCGGACACAUGGUUUCUUUGAGGACCUGUGGUGGUGAGCAUUAACUGCAAUGGGCAUCUCAGUACAGAUAACAGAGUCCCAGAGUCCUGUGACCAAGCCUAUACAAGUUACGAUUGCUCUGCAUGGAUUCCAGAAACAACACGAACUUUUACCAGUAAAGCAGUAACUAUGGAUUCUAACAGCAAACAGAACAGAUCAGCUUUGCCAGGAGAAAUUUAUUAUACGCUGGCUUAGAUUGGUCUUCUGUUAGUGCUUCCCAAAACAGUAAGAGGCAAUAAAUAGUAAGGAGUGCUAAACUAUUGUUAUCACCAGAUACGUGUGUGCAUUUUAAGUCCAAAGCUGCUGAUUCAUGUAUGUCAAGUAAUUGACAGAUGGAAGUGUUUAUGGUAGUGAAUUGUCAGACCCCUGUGUAUUGCAGUUUGCACCCUGUUUGCACUCAAAGAGCAAUGCUUCUCCCAUAGGCCAUAGUGAGCAGUUGCAUAAAGGAGGGGAAUGCGUGUGCUCAUCUUUGGCUUCUAGGACUAAUAACAGAUCUGAGUACCAGAUAGUUGGUAAAAAAUCUUUUAAGUUGCAAAAUCACAUAAGCUUCGUAACGUUCUCUAAAUGUAUAUUGCAGUUUUGGGUACGUUAAAGGUACUCAACUAUCUAUACCGCCUACAGGAACCUUCCAAUAGAUCCUUAUGACUGAUUUUAUGUGGAAUGCAGUUAAUGUUGCAGUAUUGUCCACAACAAUGUAGAUCUAGUCAACAGUAAAAAGAUUCCAGCAAUAAACAGGCCUUGUGUGUAAUCCAACCUCUAGCUUUUCAGUUCCCACAUGCACAGGGAAAUUGCGGUGACUCCAGGCUCCAGGUGGAUGACCACUGCUGAAGGUCAGUCAGAUCCAUGGCCUCUGCACCUUUCAGAUACACAUGCAAGGAAUGAUUUGUCACACGGAAACUCUGAGUUGCAAGGAAAGGAAAGUUGAUGAAGAAGGUAAAGGGAGCCGUUCAUUCCCCUGUUUCCUUACCGUGCACACAACUGAGAAAGAACAGGUGGGCUUUCCCCACUGAAGGCUUCUCCAGUGAAGCUGUGAUUCUGCUGCUGUGAUGCUGGGCACUCAGGGUGCUUGGAUGGAGCAGUGGGGGCAGCAUCAUUUCUUCCUUAACAUGCAUCUGUCCAGUGCAAUGGGAGUGGAGCCAUGGACAGGCCACUGCCUUCACCUGGGGCUCACACAAAGAUCUAGCAGCAAACCCUGGAGGAGAACUGUGCCUUUGGGUAUCAGCCUCUAGAGACCCUGCACACUGUGUUCUGCCCUGAAGCUGUCUGCCUGCUCUGCCUGCUCUGCCUCUUCUUUGUGAAUCAAGCUUCCUGACACCUGCACUCCAAGGCAUCUCUUCCCCUGACUCUGUUUAUGGAUGGGACCCCAGGAGUUCCUCACUCAGAAAGGACAUCCCCCUGGGAAAAAUCCAAGGCCAUCCCAUGUAUGUCUCAGAUGCUCUUUGUACUGAUUUCAUUUCCUUUGGAUGUAUUCCCAAAUGUAGGGUUGCCAGUAAAGGAUGACAAUAUUUUUCUGUAUUUAGAGAAACUGCCCCACCAUUUUCCAUGUUGCCAGUUCUCAUUCAUUGCCAUUUCCAUUCUCAAAUUGUAAAUUUCUGUGACAUUAGGUAUAACAAGCUUUAGUUGUGAAAUGGAAAGCAUGAAAAACAAAGGAAUAAGAAUAUUAACUGUAUUAAAAGCUUUUAUGUAUCAAAGGACAAUAUCAUCAUAGUGCAAAUAUGUCCUACAACAAGUGGGAAGAUGGGAAGGGGACCGGGAGCUGGAAGUAGCAAGGUUGGGUGGCGGGGUGAGGGAUGAAAAAAGAUGUGUCCCAUGCAUGUGUCAACUGCCCACCGUGAGUGUAAUCAUUAUGUACUGCAAGUGUAUACAAAUAAAAUGAAUUCCAAUAAUGGAAGAAAACU
Molecule: long non-coding RNA, 2344 nt
Organism: Cavia porcellus (domestic guinea pig)
Lineage: Eukaryota; Metazoa; Chordata; Mammalia; Rodentia; Caviidae
Exons: 3
Source: RefSeq, a predicted model, not a curated record